This 384-nucleotide ribosomal RNA is filed under the name uncultured Alphaproteobacteria bacterium. RNAcentral's name for it is "bacterial SSU rRNA". It matches the Rfam family "Bacterial small subunit ribosomal RNA", at positions 1034 to 1419 of the family's 1533-position model. Lineage: Bacteria; Pseudomonadati; Pseudomonadota; Alphaproteobacteria. The record is from RNAcentral.
ACAGGUGCUGCAUGGCUGUCGUCAGCUCGUGUCGUGAGAUGUUGGGUUAAGUCCCGCAACGAGCGCAACCCUCAUCCUUAGUUGCCAGCGGUUCGGCCGGGCACUCUAAGGAAACUGCCGGUGACAAGCCGGAGGAAGGCGAGGAUGACGUCAAGUCCUCAUGGCCCUUAUGGGCUGGGCUACACACGUGCUACAAUGGCAGUGACAACGGGAAGCAAGACCGCGAGGUGGAGCUAAUCCCCAAAAGCUGUCUCAGUUCGGAUUGUACUCUGCAACUCGAGUGCAUGAAGUUGGAAUCGCUAGUAAUCGCGGAUCAGCAUGCCGCGGUGAAUACGUUCUCGGGCCUUGUACACACCGCCCGUCACACCAUGGGAGUUGGCUUUA